RNA transcript from Phyllopteryx taeniolatus (common seadragon), 1365 nucleotides. It is a transcript of the gene named mitochondrial ribosomal protein S15, with no coding region annotated. The record is from RefSeq and is a predicted model, not a curated record. The transcript is spliced from 9 exons. Lineage: Eukaryota; Metazoa; Chordata; Actinopteri; Syngnathiformes; Syngnathidae.
UUGACAACUCGUACGGUCUAGACAAAAUGGCGGCGCACGUCUAGUGGUUGAGUUUGUUUUUCCUCUUUCUCUCCGGCUGGAGAAAACGUAACCCUAACCCUUGCCGAGUUUGUGGAUUAACAAACACAUUAUUAUAAACACUUCAACACAACAUUAGUCAUGUGGUCGAACAUCGCUCUAAGGACCGUUUUAAGGUCUUCCUUGGGCGUUUUGAGGGAAAGCGCCGGCACUUCAGGGACGUGCUGCUCGGCGCUGCUGUCGAGAAACAAAGUAAACAGCGUGUUAGGAGUUUUUUCCCCUCCAGCACCAGUCCGACAUUAUGCUCGCGCUACAAAGAAAAAGGUUGCAGGUCUUGAGAGCCAACUCAGCGACCUCCCGCCGACCAUGCUGAAGAUGGAUUACGCCGCCGUACCCCUCGCAGAAACGACGGACGAUAUUGUCAAGAGACUUCUUUCGUUGGAGUUAGCCAGCCAGAGUGAAAAGUUGGCAUUGAAAAAGGAACAGCUGAUUGCCAAGGUGCAGCGGGAUGAGAGCGACCGCAGCUCAGUGGAAGUUCAGGUGGCCAUUUUGACGGCGAGGAUCCGCAACUUUCAGGAGCACUUGCUCAAACAUCACAAGGACAAGGCGAACAAGAGACGCAUGCUGAUGGCCAUGGAUAGAAGAAAGAAGUUGCUGAAGAACCUGCGGCUGGAGCGCUACGAUGCCUUCGAGAAGGUGUGCGAGCAGCUGGGCAUCACCUAUACCUUCCCGCCUGAGUACUACAGGAGGGCAACGCGACGCUGGCUGGCCAAGAAGGCCUUCUGCAUCAAGCAUUAUUAUUACAGGCGGCGCAGUGGACGACUGGCUAGCACAUCCGCCUCACAGUUCUGAGGAUCCGGGUUCAAAUCCAGCCACACUUGUGUGGAGUUUGCAUGUUCUCCUUGUGCCUGCGUGGGUUUUCUCCGGGUACUCCAGUUUCCUCCCACAUCCCAAAAACAUACAUGGUCUUCAAGGAGGUGCAGAAGCAGAAAGCAGAGCAGAAACUGAAAUUAGCGGCUAAAAUGGAAACUGCCAGCCAGUAGAUGCCAUCAUUCGCUGGUAAAAGACAGCAUUUUUGGUGUGUUUUUUUCUCCAUGUCACCGGUCUAUAUAAUGCAGAGGCCAGUUGCGGCCCGUGAUUCAUUUGAAAUAGCUUUUCAGUAAUAUUGCACCUCUGUGUAAAAGGCACGAGCAGAUCAAUGCUGAAUCCACAGUACUGACUAUAAUAUGGCAAUUAUUCAGGAUUUCUGUGAGAGACUAAUGAGGCUCGAAACAUCAAUGCUAAAUGUACAUCCAUUUUGUAUACUAGUCAUUUAAUGAAAAUAAACACAGUAAUGAGGUUAAAAUA